Molecule: ribosomal RNA, 496 nt
Filed under: uncultured bacterium
Lineage: Bacteria
Description: partial 16S ribosomal RNA
Rfam family: Bacterial small subunit ribosomal RNA
Source: RNAcentral
GAUGAACGCUGGCGGCGUGCCUAAUACAUGCAAGUAGAACGCUGAAGGAGGAGCUUGCUCUUUCCGGAUGAGUUGCGAACGGGUGAGUAACGCGUAGGUAACCUGCCUGGUAGCGGGGGAUAACUAUUGGAAACGAUAGCUAAUACCGCAUAACAGUAGAUAUUGCAUGAUAUUUGCUUGAAAGGGGCAAUUGCUCCACUACCAGAUGGACCUGCGUUGUAUUAGCUAGUUGGUGAGGUAACGGCUCACCAAGGCGACGAUACAUAGCCGACCUGAGAGGGUGGUCGGCCACACUGGGACUGAGACACGGCCCAGACUCCUACGGGAGGCAGCAGUAGGGAAUCUUCGGCAAUGGACGGAAGUCUGACCGAGCAACGCCGCGUGAGUGAAGAAGGUUUUCGGAUCGUAAAGCUCUGUUGUAAGAGAAGAACGAGUGUGAGAGUGGAAAGUUCACACUGUGACGGUAUCUUACCAGAAAGGGACGGCUAACUACGUG